This 253-nucleotide ribosomal RNA is filed under the name uncultured bacterium. Its description in RNAcentral is "partial 16S ribosomal RNA". It matches the Rfam family "Bacterial small subunit ribosomal RNA", at positions 524 to 776 of the family's 1533-position model. The record is from RNAcentral.
UACGUAGGGGGCUAGCGUUGUCCGGAUUUAUUGGGCGUAAAGAGCGUGUAGGCGGCCAGGUAGGUCUGCUGUGAAAACUCGAGGCUCAACCUCGAGACGUCGGCGGAAACCAUCUGGCUAGAGUCCGGAAGAGGAGAGUGGAAUUCCUGGUGUAGCGGUGAAAUGCGCAGAUAUCAGGAGGAACACCAGAGGCGAAGGCGGGUUACUGGGCUGAUACUGACGCUGAUGCGCGAAAGCUAGGGGAGCAAACGGG